This 15762-nucleotide long non-coding RNA is filed under the name Homo sapiens (human). RNAcentral describes it as "non-protein coding LINC02432:13". The stretch from base 12668 to 12772 matches the Rfam family "Small nucleolar RNA U13". The record is from RNAcentral. Lineage: Eukaryota; Metazoa; Chordata; Mammalia; Primates; Hominidae.
GGCAACCCGCUCCGGUGUCCUUCCAUGCUGUGGAGGCUCUGUUGUUUCGCUCUUUCUACUGCUUACUCUUCGGGUCCACACUGCUUUUAUGAGCUGUAACACUCACCCUGAAGGUUUGCAACUUGACUCCUGAAGCCAGCAAGACCACGAGCCCCAGGGAGGAACGAACAACUCCAGACGCGCUGCCUUAAGAGCUGUAACACUCACCGAGAAGGUCUGCAGCUUCACUCCUGAGCCAGCGAGGCCACGAACCCACCAGAAGGAAGAAACUCUGAACACAUCCGAACAUCAGAAGGAACAAACUCCAGACGUGCCACCUUAAGAGCUGUUAACACUCACCGCGAGGGUCCGCGGCUUCAUUUUUGAAGUCAGUGAGACCAAGAACCAACCAAUUCGGGACACAAUACCAACUCUUUCAUGCCAGGAGAAGCCUCCUUAAAAAAUUUCGGUGAUUAACAGCAGCACAUGGGUCAAAAUCUCCUGAAAGUUGAGCAGGGGAGCUGUAGAAGAAUUCCUCCUUUUCUCGCAGAUGAAAUCUUAUGAUAUAGCAGGGGUUACCUGGCCAAGAAGGAACACAGAGGAGAACAAAGAAAAUUCAAGGAACUAAAUUCCUUCUCCACCUCAACCACCAGCAUUGAUACUCCAUCACUUAUGUACUGCAUCAAGCCGUCCUCAGAGGUGAGGAAGGUGCUGUCAAGACUAGAAGCAUGUGUCCCUCUCUCCAUUGCAAGAUGGGACAUAGAGAGGAGAAAAGUGGCAGACAGAAGGCUAAUCUCAACUGGAAACCAGAAGGCUAGAAAUCUUACUGAUGUGAUGUCCAGGGAUACAGAGCAUAUGAAGGAUGCAGAGAGUGGGUCAAAUGGAAGGAAUGUAGCAAAACAUGUAAACUUGAGUAAGUAUUUGAUCUCUUUGAGCCUAUGUUUUUCAAUAUUUGGAUUCCAACAGCCAGCUCAGUGCUGACAGAGUCAGCAAGUUCUUGUUGAGUGGGAUUGUGUCCAUAAAAUAAUGUAUAUAAAAUAGACAAGCUCUAUAGCUCCUUUCAAUUAUGACCUUCUCUGAUUACUAUUUUGUUGAUUGUCCUCAAAUAUUAUUAAAUAAUCAUGCCCUGACCAUAAUAAAGAAGACUUCAUCAUUGCUGAGGAUGAAUUUCACACCCCAGUCUUUAACUCUAUGCUCUGCUAUCUCUUCCAUCUAAAAAUACAAAAACUGAUUGUUCAGGUGUUACACAAUGAGAUGUCUAAAGAGAAGAAAGACUAAAAUAUUUAGGUAAGGACAUGGAUGCAGGAUAGUAGGGGAGAAAAAUCGCUUUGAUUGUAAACUUGGGCACAUUGAGGAUAUUUGAAGGUCAUAAAAGUUUAACCUGUAAUAUACCAUAAAAAGGAGAGAUGGGAAUAACUUCUGGAAAUAUUCCUUUAAUUUUUCAGUUCUUUAUUUCAGUAAAUUUUUUGUGUACUGCUCUUGGUACUCAAAAUGGUACUCACAGUAGAUGCUCACAACUGUUUAUUAAAUUGAAAAUUACUGCAAAUAUUUUAACAGAAACACAUGAUUUUGCAUUUACCUAUAUAAUUUGAAAAAAUUUGCUACUUAUUUUCCCUCAAGGUUUAACUUAGACAUUUUCAAUAUCUCUCUUAAUAAAAGAUUGUAUUUUUCUAGCAAUAAUGUCUUUUCUUAGCAAUUGUUACAAACAUAUGUACAAACUGUAUUGCAUAGUGUUGUUACAGAAAGUAAGCCAACAAGAGCCCUGUACUUCUUUCCAGAGAGUUAUUUCAAAACAGCUUUCUCCUCCUUAAGCUCCUUCAUUGGUAAAGAAACAUCACAAAAACGUUUUGAGUCAUUCAAUUCACUUUGUAAUCAGGUCUCCAGUGCCAUAAACUGUGAGUACUUGCUAAUUUGCCCCUGAAGAUUUAUUCAUGAGAUAUUUUUCCUGAAUUUACCCCAUUUGAUCUUGUCCUUUUUUUCCUCGACAAGCCAAAUACAUCUGUUCUGUUAAAGUGCCUGUACCUGUUAAGUGUUUGUAUUAUGGGGAAAAUCCUCCCUUAAGACUCCUUCAAUUAAUACAUCUAUGACUACUUUUCUGCUUUUUUGUUCCCCUUUCCUACUCUUCUUUCCAUUUAUUUAUUUUUAUUCUUUAAAUAAAUUUUUUCUCUGCAAGUCCUCAAGGCAGUACUCAAUAAUAUAAAGGGUAUAUAAUUAAUUGGUAGGACUGUCAGAAUUUAACAAAUUUCUUCCAAUAUUUUCUUCCAUAGAAUACUCUUCUCUUCCUCACUCUUUAAACUCUUACUCCCAGGAACUCCCUUCUGAUGGGAAAACGAUGUUCCAAGAAACCUAAAAUGACUUUCUCUGGCUCUCACUGCUAUUUCAGUUGCACAGCUGGGAUUAGAUCUCUGGAGCUCUGAUUUACAAUUAGGCAAUUUAACCUCAAUUCUAUCCCUUGUAGUAAACAGUAAAUAAGACCCAUAUUUCACUUGAAUAUUCUAAUCUGAAAAGAAUAACAUGCCUGAUAUUCUUUCCUUGAAACACUUGGUUUAUAAAAACAUGGAAAGGAUUUUCUAUUCUGAGUGAAUGUGUCAGCAGCUCUGAGAUGACAGCUGAUAAAUUGUCCUUUGAAAUCAUUAAAAAUGCUGUUAAAAAUGUAUAUUUGACAUCUUAAUAUGAAAAUGACAAAAUAAAAUGCUGUGUUCCUGCUUGUCUACCUAAGGCUCUGUACGGCACACUCUAAAUGAUGGUGACUAACACCUGCUGUCAGGCAUUGCCUUCAUAUGCUACAAAAAUAACUUCUCUAAAUAUUCUUAAGAAAGUCAGAAGUGUGUGUCAGCCAUCUGUCUGCCUUAAUUGGUUUUUCAUUAGAAUCCUACCAUUUCUUUGAGUUGUUAUUCCAAUUUUUUCCCUCCAUUUCCUUAAACUGACCUUUGGGUAGGUUGGGAGGGCCAGCCAUGGGAACACAUCUAGUGCACUGCUAGCAAUUGCAGCCAGGCCCAAAGUUAAUGCCCCUUUCAUGUGCACAUUCAGAGUCCCUGUGUGGUGCCUUGCACACUUUGUUUCUCCAGAGUUUUGCAAAAGAACUGGCAAGGGUCAGAUUCAACUAGCACCUCCUGGCUAAUCAAGCAUCAGACCCCCUGCUAGGUGUUUCCCAUGAGAUGCCAUCACACUCACCAAAAAUGGAAAGAGGAGGUUGAGCAGCAGCAAACUCUUGAGCCCUGUAUCCAAGGGAGUCGAAACGGCAAUCCAUAGGAAGUAUCACCUGGCUGUGCAAAUACAAGGUCUGUUUCUCAUUUCUCCUCCUGGCUUGCAAAAGUACUUUCAAACCUCUGCAUCCUUAGUGCAGAAAAGAUCAAAGAUACUCAGAUUCAGAAGAUCCCUGAUAAUCUGAAAAGUGAAAACAGACUUAAGAGAAAUAAUGAAGUUAGUAAUCAAGAACUUAAAACUAUCCACAUUUGAUAUAAGGUUCCUAAAGUAGAACCACAUCACGUGCAACAGGAACAGUGUGAAACAGUGCAAGGAUUCACAACAGCUAAAAAGUAGAUCCUCAGCCAUACUGCCAAAGGAUGUGUCAUCAUCAGUUUCCUACUGAAGAGGAAUAAGAAACUGAUAUCCCAACCCAUUGUGUUUCCUUUGUAGUUUGGUCUAUAUAAGCAAACAUAGUUCUCUUGAAAGGCUGAUAUUCCAGUGUUCUCAAUAAAUCCUUCAGUGGUCCUUGUUAAGUUCAUUAUAAAAGAUUCUCUUAGUAUUGUUACAAAGAGAUACUUGCUAUUGGAAGAACUAACCUGAAUAUCUUACCUGAGUAUUAGACAUAAAAUUCAGGUGACCAGUGUGGACCUAUCCAGGCCAACAGCCUCAAAACUGUCUAGAUGCUACACAUUUAUGCCACUGUACUGAAGGAAAUCAGGGAUAGAACCAGGCUACUUUUGUCUAAACAAUGUUUCUUCUCUAGUACCAAAGAGAGGAAAAAAACAGCACAUCUCUCAUUGCAUGGCUCUUCCCGGCCAAGACACUCUGCCGACUGUGAGAGGACCAAGGGUGAAAGCAAAAAGAUCAACUGGGAGACUCCUGAAAUAAUCUUGACAAUGCCUGAGGGUGGCUUAGACCAAAGUAGAAGCAGUGAAGAUAACUGAAAGUUGUUGAAUUGUGGACAGAUUUCAAAGGUAAAAUGGAUAAGAUUUGCUAACAUGUUAAAUGUAGUACGAGUGAAAGAGAGAAUUCAAAGAUGACUCUAAGAUUUUUUUGCCUGAACAACUGGGAGAAUGGAAUUCCCAGGGAAUGAGAUGGAAAAAACUUGAGGUUUGGGGUAACAUUGAGUUUAAUUUUGGACAUAAUAAGUUUGAAAUGUCUAUUAGCCAUCUGUGAAGAAAUAUCAAAUACACCGCUAUAUAUACAAACCUGUGAUUCUGGGAAUAGUUCCAUCCUGAGGGUAUACAUUUGGGAGUCAGCUAUAUGGAGGUGGCAUGAAAUUCUUGAGAUCAGAAGAGAUUAUCCAGGGAGUGAGCACAGAUAGAGAAAGGAGAGGCCACAGGUCUAUGUCCCACUUUUCCAGCAGAACACGGUGCAGUGUUAAACCAUUGCCACACCUCGCCAAUGAAACUAGACCACACUUACCCAACAGCCCAAUUAUUUGGAAAAUUCUUGAAAUACAGAAAGGAGUAGAGCAGCCCCAGGAGCUGUUAAGGUGUCUCAAAAUUUAUUCACUGUAACUCCCAGGAAAGUUCCAUGGGACAUCACCCAGGGCUGGCUGCAGCCUCUCAGAAGCACAUGCAAUGACAGCAGCUAAAUGCGACUGACAAAAGUAAAUCAGACACAGCUUAAAUAACCGUGAAGCCUAAAGUUUGGACUCCCUGGUGCUUAGCCCAUUUCUCUUUCUGAUAAAUAACUCUACCACCUAAUUAUUGAGGUAGCAAAUAGUUGUAGCCCCAUCUGGGCUAGCCUGAACUGUGGGUCUGUUAGUGCUCCUUAAAACUACUAUUUUGUUCAGGGUGUAUUUAGGAGGACUGAGCACUCAGUGGGGAAAGUUGCUAGAGGCAAUACUCAGCUUCUCCUCAACUACCCAAACAAAUCUGCGCCAGCACCAAGCUCACACACUGGUUCAGGACCACCAGCACUCUGCAGGAAACCCUCUUCCCCAAAGAUGGUUCAGUGACCACUUAAUGUUAUUUCAGCAUGACCCUUACAUAUGAUGACCAUGUGAUUAAGUAUCCAACCUGGGAUACUUUCUAGUGUCAAAGGGGGUGCUAUUACAACAGGUAUCAACUGGGACUGUGUAGGCAGGAAAGGAUUCGUAGUCCUAGCAAUUCACACCCUCACUUACUCCACUCCCAUUCCAGGAAGCUUAUGAAGGAACUUCUUCCAAAAACAUAAAAUACUGCCUGAGAUGACUUCUGGUAAAAACAACUUUGUCUGAGACCAUUUUCAGAAAUAGUUUAGCAUGUCUUACAGAUGUGAGGUCCUGUACAAGUUACUGACCACCCAUUCUUUCAUCUAUCUCUGCCUAUCUUUUAUGGAGCACCUGUUCUGUCCCAGGAACAAGGGACACAGAUUUAUACAAGGGAAUCAGUAUUGGUUAAGUUCAUAUUUAAGUAUGUUAACUCACUUAAUUCUCACAAAACCAGUGAGAAGUUAACCCUGCUUGACCAGUGAAUUCAUGAAUGCUCAGGGAGGUUAUGGAACAUGGCUAAAGUCACACAGCUAGCGGGUGGCAGCAGCAGGAUUUUAUUUCAUCACUGGCUGCUAAGCUUGUUCCUCUUUCCUUGUACUACACUGAGGGGAAAGAUGGUGAAAGACUCAUGAAGGACAUGAAAGGAGCUCAUGAAAGAUGAUGAAAGACUCUUGAAAGACAGGAGUCCAUGUCCCACAAGAUGGCUCUUUCAAGGUCUCUUCAGAGAUUUCCUUGUUGGGACUUCCUUCACCUGCAGUUUCCUUGGUUGCAACUCCUUUCCUGGCUACUUUGCAUGUCCAUACUAGCAGUCCCUACUGGCCUCUUUUUUCUGUGGCCUAUUUUCCUCCCUGUUGGUCCCCAGGUAAAAUCUCUUCCCCCGGCACACAUCUGGUCCAGGGAAACACUGGCGCAGCCCUUAGACCAUGCUCUCAGGGCUCUACCUCAGGAACACUUAGCCCUUUCAUUGUUCUUCCCAGUUCCUGGCCCCAAUCAGAUUCAGUGCAUUCUGUUAGAUUUAUCAGGCUUCCCAAAGUAGAGGGCACAUUUCAGAGCCCUCCGGGACAUCUACUUGAAGUCCCUUCACUUUCUCAGUUGGUGUGUUUAGAGCCAAAAUGAAGCCAGUGGGCUGAGAGGUGAGGGUUGGGGCAGGAAGAACAAGGCAGCCUAGUUGGAUAUGAUGUCUCAGGGGAAGAGGUCAGAGUGUAAAGGGGCCUAAUAAGCCAAGGUACCUGCAGGGGUGCCCACUAGAAGGCUUUCUGCAGAAUGCGAUGUGAUCUAAUUAUGAUUCGAAGAAUAGUGUGGACAGUAGGCAGACAAGAGCAGAAUCAGAUAUGAGGCAUCACAGAUAAGACCUGCUCUCAUGGCCCCUGCUGAUGUGUAAGGCAUUUCCCCCGAACCUCUUCUGCAGGUCAAGAAGACACUUUGCUCCUUCCUUUAUCCUAACCCUCUGCCCAAACCUGAGAAAAAUAUGACAGAGGCCCAUUGCAGUUUAGAAGGUCUUUAUACUAACCCCAAGAUUCUCAUUUAGGAAAGAGUCCAUAAUGGUUUCACUGGAGUGAAGCAAAGGCAACUGUACAAAUAUAAUCAGCCCACUGAAGGUUCUGGCCUACAACAUAAGAGUUUCUUCUGUUUAGCACCAUCAAACACUCUCGUGACUGCACAUAUCAAUAACUUUAAGAAGUUACCUUCUCCCCACUUGGACACAGGGUGGGGAACAUCACACACCAGGGCCUGUCGUGGGGUUGGGGGAGGGGGCAGGGAUAGCAUUAGGAGAUAUACCUAAUGUAAAUGACGAGUUAAUGGGUGCAGCACACCAACAUGGCGCAUGUAUACAUAUGUAACAAACCUGCACGUUGGCACAUGUACUCUAGAACUUAAAGUAUAGUAAAAAUAAAUAAAUAGAAGUUACCUUCUCCCUUUUUGGAGGGCAAUUUGACCACAUCUAUUAAAACUUUAAGUGCUCAUAAAAUUUGACCUUGCAAUUUUACAUCUGGCAUCCAUCCUACAGAAACACUGAAGUCUGUGCACAGAGUUACAAACACAAGAACAUUCACUUUGCAUUAUUUGUAAUAGUGAAAAUUGAAAACCUUAAUGUUUCAUCAGUAUAAUGGUUAAUUAAUUCAUGAUAAUCCAUAUUACAGAUAGUUAUGCAAAAGAAGACCAAUUUGAACUCAUGGAAACAGUGACACGAUUUAUGGUUAAGUGGGGGAAAAAACUAGUUUCAGGAUAAUAUGUAUGGCAAGAUCCCACUCUUGGAGAGAAAAAAAGAUAUAUGUGUACAGUGUAUGCACCUGUGUCUGUAAAGGCCCACAACAAAGUCAUCAAACUAUUAACAGCAGUGGCCUUUGAGAAAGGGAGUGUGAGUGGAAUGAAGAGGCCAAAGAGAGAAUACAGAUUGCUCAGCACUUCAUAGUGUGAUUUAAUCUUUUGUAAUAAUAAUGCAUUUGUACAUUUCCUAUGUGACUUUUUUUAACUAGAAAAAAUAAACAACAACAAAAAAAACAAGAAAUACAGAAAUGUGGUUGGCCUAAAAAUCUUGGGUAUUACUUCUUAAUUUUAACAAAAAUGUUCUUACAAUCCUAGUCUGGUUGCUAUUCCAGCCUUUCUAAAUUCCUGACCUUCACUGCUCAUCAAAUUCUAAUUAACCUUGUGGUUCCCCAGAGUCUUGCAGGUGUCCGGACCGGCUGGUGUCUCCUGGAGCAAACCAGCCCUCCUUCUUGUGGUAGGCAACUGCCUGGGUGCUAACUCCUCGGUGACAGCAGUGUAAAUGAUUCCAUUGGUCUUCUAGGAGGCAGGAACUUCACAGACCUCAGUGCAUAAUAACAAAUUCAAUGCUUAACAGGACUUGUCAUGCAUGGAAGGAGCUGCGGUCGCCACCACAGUGGUCACAGGACCACAAGUGUGAAGUGAAGAGCUGGCUCUGACAGUGAUUGCUCUCUCUAAACAGGUCAGGGUUUGUUCUGCCUCAGUACAAACAAACAGUGCCCUCUUCUGCCCAGCAGCAGAACUUCUCUUCAAAACCAUCACCUUGUCAGAGUAUCUGGAACUUUCACCCUGUUAGGUUGUUCACUGCAAAAUGAGCCAAAGAAACUGGAAAAUAACACUGAUGAGGGAGAGGUCAUCUGUCGGAAAGCUGUCACUCUGAUUCUGCCCUAAAUUCAUGUCCCAAUUUUACAAGCAUUCUAUUUUAACCGCAGAGAAGAUGAAAAGAUUUAAAUAAUAGAGUAAGUUACAUCUAUCAAACUGGCCAAAAAAAAAAAAAAUUUAAGUGCUUAAACUUUGUAUUGCUAUGAUAAAAUAUUAUCCAUGGUAUGGAAUAUCAGUUCAAGCUUUCUGAGAAACAGUCUGGCAGCUGGUUACCAUUUUAAAAAUAUCCUUUAUUACAUUUUAGUUCAAUAAUUAUUUAUUUGGGAAUAUUUCAUGAAAAAAAUAGACACAAAGACAAUGAAGUAAUUUACAUAAAGAUGCUUAGAGCCAUGUCAUAUUUCAUUAUUAUAUACUGAAAAACUGGAAAAACUCAAGUACAAAUGGCAAGCAGUAAAUAAAUUGUUAUAUGAAGUACAAUAUAGUAUUACAAUGCUUUACUAUAAAGCCAUUAUGAAUUGUAAUUUCAGGCCAGGCAUAGUGGCUCAUGCCUGUAAUCCCAGCACUUUGGGAAGCCGAGGCACGUGGGCUGCUUGAGCUCAGGAGUUUGAAACCAGCCUGAGCAACAUGGCAAAACCUCGUCUCUACAAAAAAUACAAAAAUUGGCCACGUGUGGCGAUGCACGCCUGUGGUCCCAGCUACUCAGGAAGCUGAGGUGGGAUGAUUGCUUAAGCCCAGGAGGUUGGGCUGCAGUGAACCUAGAUAGCACAAAUGCACUCCAGCCUGGGCGGCAGAGUGAUACCCUAUCUCAAAACAAACAAAAAAUGGUAAUUUCAGGGACUGACAUAAUAGAUUUACUGUAUAUAUGAUACUGGAAAAACAUAGAAUACAAAAUGAUGCUCAUACUCUUACUAUAAUGCAAGUGUAUACAAUGGUAAAGGAUUUUAGAGUAAACAGAGUUUAGUAUACACUCUUAUAUCUAAAGAUAGUUCAGUAUGAAGCAAUAUAGAAAGGUAGGAGAGGGAAAGAAAGCAAGACAGAAAACAAAAUCUAUUAGCUAUUGUGUCAUGCCUCAUUUCUAACUGCCUCAUCUCAAAGUAUCAUUUUCUCUGUUUUGGAAGCCAGAGAAAUCUAUUUUACUUCACUAAUAGUUUGUAAAGAGAGAGCAUAUCACUUAUUAAUGUAUAAAAAAGCAAAAAUAGCUUUAGAAAGAGUUGCCAAACUCCCUCUGUCCUUUCUUAAGCACACUUCACACUUUUGGCUCAUACAGAUAGAAGCUUUAAAAUAUUCUAGGUUCAAUUAUUAGUAUUUAUAAUCUCUAAAGCUAAAAGACAAGUUUACUCAGAAGGUUCAGGAAUGUGAAAAUCAAUGUAAAAUGACAAAAAGUUUCAUGAAACCCCUGAUAAGGCUAAAAUCUGACAGCUUGAUGGAGACAUCUCAUAUUGAGAGUUCAGGCAAAAACAGUGAGCUUUUGUAAUUCUCACUGUUAAAUUCACAAUAUAGUCUCAGUUCUAGCCUGGAGAUAUUUAAAGUAUGGACUUGAAAUGUCUAACAAGACACAAACCUUUGCAAGAGCUCAGCACUCUCUUCCAUAAGGACCAGGAUCAAAAUUUAUCCCAUAUUAAGAACCACACAAGGAGUUUGUUAAAACCUCAUAUUCCUGGGCCUCCUUUGCCAGAGAUUCUAUGUAGGUCUGUGACAAGGCCCUGGAAUCUUUUUUUUUUUUUUUUUAACAAAAGCCGUGGGAGCUUCUGAUGCAGCUGGCCCCUGUACUUGGAUAACUAUUAGUGUAGUAAACAGUAGGGUUCCUUAAUUAACCUCCUUGAAAAUUUGUCAGUCAGUCCCUUUGGAGCUGGGAUCCAGACACUAUGUUAGAAAACACAGAAUUCAACCAAUUCUUAACAUCCCUGUUACCAGAUCACUAGUCCAUGCCCCACUGCCUCUUGCCUGGCCCUUGUGAUGGCCUCCUCACUGGCCUCUGGUUCCUUACUCUUGCUCUUCACACAACAGUCAGAGUGGCCAUCUCAAAGCCCAAGUCAGACCAUGUUACUCUUACGGAUUCCUAAUUGUUAUUUACAAGGCCCUGCAUAAUCUUAUCUCUAGCUACUUUCCUAACCUCAUUGCCUCUUCCCUUUUCCUUCUCUACUCCAGCCACAGUGAUCUUCCUGCAUUACUUCAACAUACUAAGUGUGCCCCAGACUCAGGGACUUUGCACUUUCUGAUCCCUUUGACUGGAAUGCUCUCCCACUCCUGCUUGGGCUUUCUUCUCAUUGGCACCCUGAAGAGAGGCCCUCCUAGUCCCCUAGUCCAUUAUCCUUUGUCCUCUUAUUUUUCUUUUAGGCACUUGCCACAUGACGCACGAUAUUUUUAAUUGUAUCUUUGUGAGAGGUGACUUUAUCCAUUUUAUGCAUGACUCAGUCUCAGCAGGUAAAGUGGUGUGUGCCAUGUAAAAGGUGCUCAAUAAAUAUCUGAUGAAUGAAUAAAUGUAGGAAUUUCACAUGUAGAGUCUUUGGGAAAUAAAAUAUAGGUAGAAUCUUUUGGAGUCUACUUGUAGAAUCCAACUUUAUAUAAAAAUAAGAAAGGCAUAAUUUGUCUGAUCUGCUACAUUUCUAGAUUCCCCAGUGGGAUUUUCAUUUUAAAAAGGAGGUACUCACGCUGGGCUACAGAAAUUGACAUUCACAUAACCCUAUUCCUGUUCUGAGUCAUCUUGUUGUGCUGGAAACUCAAGUGACACAUAUUAAAAAGAAGAAAAAUUGUCGAGCCUCUUUUUCAUUAUUGCUGUAGUUUGAAUGAUUGUGUCCCCUCCAAAUUUUAUGUUGAAACUUAAUCCCUAAUGUAACAAUAGUAAGAGGUGUUACCUUUGAGAGGUGAUUAGGGGACUCUGCCCUCAUGAAUGAGGUUGGCACCCUUGUGAAAAGGCUCAGGGUUGGCCAGGCGCGGUGGCUCACGCCUGUAAUCCCAGCAGUUUGGGGGGCCAAGGCGGGAGGAUCACCUGAGGUCAGCAGUUUUGAGACCAACCUGGCUAACAUGGUGAAAUCCCUUUUCUACUAAAAAUACAAAAAAUUAGCCAGACGUGGUGGUGUGCGCCUGUAAUCCCAGCUACUUGGGAGGCUGAGGCAGGAGAAUCUCUGGAACCCAGAAGACAGAGAUUGCAGUGAGCCGAUAUCACACCGUCGCAUUCCAGCUUGGGCAACAAGAACUCUGUCUCGAAAAAAAAAAAAAAAAAGAAAGAAAAGAAAAGAAAAGGCUCAGGGUUGAAGGGAGUGCUCUCUUGACCUUCUAUCCCUUCUCCACCUUGUGAGGCAACAGUAUUCCUCCCCUCUGGAGGAUGCAGCAACAAGGCGCCAUCUUGGAAGCAGAGAACAGCCCUCGCCGGACAUCAAUUCUGCAAGUGCCUCGAUCAUGGAAUUCUAAGCCUCCAGAACCAUGAGAGAUAGAUUUCUACUGUUUAUAAAUUAUCCAGACUGUGAUAUUUUGCCAUAGCAGCGUAAAAAGACUAAGAUAAUUAUACAUCCUCACUCUCCAGGUUUAAAAUAGAUAAAUUCAGAAAGAAUUUCAAAUAUGAUGAUUUUUUUUAAUGUUUAACAGGUUUCUUGAUGCUGCUGGUUUUUUACAGUUCUCUUGAUGACUAUUACGAAGGUAUAUGAAGAGGCAGGUGCCUUGGGAAGCUAGUGAAGCCAAAAUCCCAGAGCUUCUCGCUUGCGUAGACUCCUGUGAGGGCUGGGAAUUUCUGUCAUGGAAUGUUCCAGAUGAGGAGGGGAAGCCCAGCUGCACUCAGGACACACUUCUAUAUAGUCCUUUUGAACCGUCUUACCAGUAAUUAAGAGAUAACUAUGAGGCCUUGCACACUGGCUCACACCUGUAAUCCCAGCACUUUGGGAGGCCAACGCAGGAAGAUCACUUGAGGUCAGGAGUUUAAGACCAGCCUGGCCAACAUGGCAAAACCCCAUCUCUACCAAAAAUACAAAAAUUGAGCAGGUGUGGUGGCGCAUGCAUGUAGUCCCAGCUACUGGUGAAGUUGAGGUGGGAGAGUCACUUGAACCCAGAAGGCAGAGGUUCCAGUGAGCUGAGAUCAUGCCGCAGCACACCAGCCUGGGUGAAAGAGUGAGACCCUGUCUCAAUUAAAAAAAAAGAAAAAAGAAAAAAGAAAGAAAGAAAGAGAGAGAGAGAGAUAACUGUGAGUCUUUUCCUAAAUUUCUUCAUCUGCCCCCUUUCUAAUUUGUUUGCAUUCAUUGAACUUAGAUGUCCAAAUAAUCAAAACCCAUUACUAACUGGCUUUUACUAAAAUCACUUCUUCACUUUCUCAAUAGUUAUAUUAAAAUGACCAACAUUCUUUAUCUGUUUAUUAAUGUUUAAAUAUUAACAAAUUUCAUUAAAUUAGCUCAACCAAAUAACGUUCUGGUACAUAAAAAUUAAUUUGAAAUAUAUAGUAAUAUGAUCCUUUUGUAGUUCAUGAGCAUAAUGAUUGGGUGUUCGCAUACAUGUGUGAGAUGUGCCACCCUCUGAACCUAGUUACAAUGUGGGGAUAUUACCUGUCUGACCUGAAAAAAAAGAAAUAUAUAUUAAUAAAGUAGUUAAUCGUUUGAGGUUUGAAAUAGACUUUCACAGAAAUUCAGUUGGAAAUUCACAGAUUGUAUGACAGAAACAAGAUCUGUAGUUUACAAUACAGAAAUCCCCUAACACAUUAUUUAUUUAGAACAGCACUGCCAGGUCACAAGUAGUGUCUAGAUAACCUGGAAAGCCAAGAAUUGGCUAGAAACCCAGUCAUGGAUAAAGCUCUGAAGUUGAAUUAAUUUAUAAAAUAGAAUGUGAUUCACUUUGAGUUAUCAAACAAACAUAAUUUAUGAGCUUCCUCUUUACCUUUGUUUUUGUUUUGUUUUUCUGGGGGUUUUUAAUCAGCUUUCAGUCUAGAGGUUGGGGGUAUAUUCUUAUCAGCUGACCAGAGACUAUAAAUAGAAUAGACAAUGGAAAGAGCCUCCAUUCAUCCAUCCAUUCAUUCAUUCAUUCAUUCUCCAGAAUUCUAGUAUAUACAAAUUUGUUUCUAAUGCCUAGAAAUUAGAAAAAAAGAAGGUCACUGCUCUGCUGGUCAAAAGGGCAAGUAAAAUAUAUUUUCUUUAAGAAGGGCAAAAAGAUAUUAACCACAGGUGAUAUAAUUAAAUUAUUUCAUUAUUUUAAAAUUGUGGUUUCCAGGCCCUACACCUACUUGUUUAGAAGCUAUGAUAUGCCAGUCACUGGCUGGUACUGAGCAGGACAGCAGGAUCCCUGCCUUCAUGGAUCUGAAAGUCUAGUGAAGCAGAAAGAGAAGUAAAUUGGUGAUUACAAGUGGUACUUAAAGUACAAAAUUCUAUGGCAUAAUAGGAAAGGGGGCCAACCCAGAAUGCAGGCAUUAGAACCUCUUUCCAGGUGAAAGAAGGGUAUCUAAGUUGAAAUCUGCAGGGUAUUGACAAAUAUUUGCUGUUAAUUAUCAAAGCAAUAAAAAGUAACAUAAUAAUAUAUAACUUUUUACAUAUUAAUACUUGCAAUUUUUUUUUUAUUCCUGUGUUCACAAGGGUUUGGGGUAGCAGGAAAUGGCCUGAUAGAGUACUGGCGAGAAUAAAAAAAUUGGUAUUAUCACUUUCAGUACAAUGUGGCAAUAUACAUCAAAAAAUAUAGAAAUAUGUGUACAUUUGACUUACCUAAAAUACCAAUUCUCAAUAUUUGCUUUAAAGAAAAAUAUAUGGACAAACUAUCUACAUUACCAUCUAAAUGUCUAACUAUAUAGUGACAAUUAAAUAACUAAUAGUACAUUCAUAUAAUGAAACAGCACUAAGUUAUUACAACAUUGGUAUAAAGAAAUAUUUAUUAACAUGUAUACAAUCAUGAUAUAUUAAGUAAAAUGAGAAGAUUACAAACAUAUGCAUAAUAGAAACCCUUUUUGGUUAAACACACACACACAGAGUUCUGGAAUGAUAUAAAAAGUGUGUUAAAUAAAGUUAUCUUUGGGUAAGAAGAUUAUACUUUCUUUUUUGGGAGGACUUUGUGUGUGCCUCUAUUACUAAUUUUUUACAUUAAAAACAUGCUGCUUUUAUAAUUCCAGAAACAAAAGUGAUGGGAUCAGGACAAAUAUAUUAAAUCAUAAAUAUUUUUAAUCCCACCCUUCUUUCAGCUCCUAAGGAGAAGCAAUAAUAAAAAAGAGGUGCCAUGUAAGAAAAGAAUCUAGAGAGGCCCACCCAGCAGGAGCACAGCUAGGUGUGGAGCUCACGGCAGAGCAGAUCACCAAAGGCUUUGCAGGCCCAGAAAGAGGAGCCUUGACUUUCAAAGAGUCAUAGGACCCUUCAUAAGCUAUUCUAAGCCUUCCACAUCCAGGGAAAGCAUUUGUUACAGAGGAACAAGGUAACAAAAGAGCUCAAGGAAAAGAGGCCUUGAGGAAGUAAAACUCUACAUUAAAGAUGAGGCUGUCCUCAACACAGCCAAAAAUGAUUUUUUAAGACAUCGUAUUAGAUUAUGUCACUCUUCCAUUCUAAUCUCUCUAACAGCUCGUCUUUCAACCACAGUGAGCCAAAUUCUUUACAUGGUCCCACAAGGUCUGACACCUGACAAUCUUUCUGACUUUUUCUUCUUCUGCGAUCCCUGUCUCUUACUGCACUCCAGACUAGCCUCCUUGCUAUUCCUCUAAUAUACCAAGCACAAUCUCACCUUGGAGUUUGUGCUGGCUGUUCCCUCAUCAAGAAUGUUGUUCCACCCACUUCCAUUUGGUUAACUUCCUCCCUGCCUUCAGAUCUUUGCUUAAAUGUCACCUUUGACAAGUCCCACUUUUACCACCACAUUUAAAGAUGCAAACGUCUUUCAUAUUAACCCCAUCCCAUACUUCCAAUUGCCCCAUCCUGCUCUAUUUUUUUUCAUAGCAUAAUCACUUUCUAUCUUCCAACUUAUUUAUUAUGUUGAUUAUUAUUUGUCUGUGUCCUUGCUACCAGGCCAGAGCUUUUUGUUUAUAUAAGCACUGACAUAUCAUAAAUAUCUAGAACAAUGCCUAGUACUCCAUUGUUCUUAAAAGAUAAUUUUCAAUAAAUAAAUGAGUGAAUAAAGCUGCAUGCUUAUUUCAUGCUUCAACUUUGAGUUAACUUAGAGUCUGGUUACCUUUAGGGAACCAUGUAAAUUAAGUAUAAGAAAAUCUAAAAUAAUUAUAAGGCCUUAGAAAGGUUCUGCUGGGGUAUUUGGAGUUAUAAUAUCAAAUAAAUAUUCAAACUGUUGUAUGCUAUCAGUGUCAUUCUUAAGCUCUCAUCUCUAAGAUCUUAUGUUGUAAAAAAUAGCUUUUAAUUUGAUAUCUAGGUUUUGGUUUCAUCACCUGUAAGAUGAGGAGAUUGCACUAAACCAUCAUUUUGAUUUCUUCUAAAGGUUUGGAAUUUCACACUUAAGAAUGUCAGGUAUUUGUCCCAGUAUUGUGGACUGAAAUAUUGCCAGUCAUAGCCCCUCACAAAAUAUGUUGACUAGCCUUUUUUGAUAUAAAACUGCCUUUAAUUCAUAUUCUCCUUUUCUGGAUUCUUCUAGAAAAC